RNAcentral lists this unclassified non-coding RNA (239 nucleotides) under Paraglomerales sp. Its description in RNAcentral is "partial contains 5.8S ribosomal RNA and internal transcribed spacer 2". The stretch from base 1 to 65 matches the Rfam family "5.8S ribosomal RNA", at positions 84 to 154 of the family's 154-position model. The record is from RNAcentral. Lineage: Eukaryota; Fungi; Glomeromycota; Glomeromycetes; Paraglomerales.
GUGAAUCAUCAAAUUUUUGAACGCAAAUUGCGCCUUUUUCGGAAGGCAUGUCUGUGUGAGGGCACCGGUUAACAAAUAAUGUGCAUUUCGUGUGCACACGUGGAUUAUCUUUCCAAAAUUAUGUAUUAUUAUUUUUGGUGGCGCAUAAUAAACAGCGCGAUGCUUUUUUUCAGUUCUAGUGUAGUAAAAUUUUUUCUUUCUUGGGUUGUGAAAAGCGGUAUCGUGCAUUUUGUAUGACG